GGGCCGUUAGCUCAACGGGUUAGAGCUCCGGACUUUUAAUCCGGCGGAGCGGGUUCGAGUCCUGCACGGCCUA
Molecule: transfer RNA, 73 nt
Filed under: Nitriliruptorales bacterium
Lineage: Bacteria; Bacillati; Actinomycetota; Nitriliruptoria; Nitriliruptorales
Rfam family: tRNA
About the family: Transfer RNA (tRNA) molecules are approximately 80 nucleotides in length.
Source: Rfam by way of RNAcentral